RNAcentral lists this long non-coding RNA (768 nucleotides) under Triticum aestivum (bread wheat). RNAcentral describes it as "long non-coding RNA (TAES_LNC006442)". Lineage: Eukaryota; Viridiplantae; Streptophyta; Magnoliopsida; Poales; Poaceae. The record is from RNAcentral.
GCUGCACCGAGCUUAAUUACUAUUGUUCCGCUUGCUGCGAAGGGAUUCCCAUCUUAACUGGAUGGAGAUUACGUGUGUGGCGUAUGAAUUCGCUGGCCCGGAUCAAUCGGGUGGAUCCACUACUUAGCAGGAGGUACGUCCAAUCUCCCCACAGCGAGCAUGCGAUUAAAUGGAGCUGCGAUGGGAUCAGGCUUUAAUUAUUUGCCUGGCGCUGAUCAGGAAUUUUGUUCCUCGAAAAUGGAUUUGAUCCAGGAUGAAUUGAUGGUCGAUCUCUGAACCCCAGUUCCAGACAAGUUUGAAUAAUUAACAGUACAUGCGAAGGCAUAGGAGACGUGCUCGUACCUGUCCUGGCCGCGUAGCGCUGCAGGCCCACGUCACUAUCAUUCCUCGGGACGAGAAGACGACGAACACUCAAACUGGUGAACAAAAAGAAGGAAGUGACGGAAGUCAAGAACGAUCAAAAUCAAGGUCAGGGUCUGAUCGAUCCUCUGAUCCAAACAAACAGUGAAACGAGCGCUUUGGUUUCCACGUUAUUCUCUGCCUACAUGCGAACAUGGGCCAGACCUUCUUUUUUUUCUUUCUAUGUACGCAGUACACAAGGCUGAGUUUCAAAAAAAACAUGAUGACGUAGAUCAUGGUAAUUAUUGCUAAUUGAUAUUUUUCCUUCUAUGUACGCAGCAUACAAUGCCGAGUUUCAAAAAAAAUAUGAUGGCGUAGAUCAUGGCAAUUCUUGCUAAUUGAUAUGAUUAAAAUAGGCCAAGGUUGGAG